GUGGUAAUAAGGGUGACUUAUGUCGUUACCCAGCCAACAGCUCUCACCUCUAACCGUUAAGUUUUCUCUCUCCUCUAUAUCAAUGGCGAUUUUUCCUUGGCUAAUUCCGUUGAAGUAAGUCUUGGGUAUCCCGAACAAAAAAAUUCUAGCAUUUGACUCCAUUGAAGUUAAAGGUAAGUAAGCUUCCUACUCAUCUCUGUAUUCGUACUUUUUUCGAGCAAUUUUGCAAAAUUUUAGAUCUAGGGUUUUAAAUUGAAUUAUCUGAUUAGUCAAAAAAUUCACGAAAUUGAAUUAAUAAUUCCAUUUGUUUUGAAAUUGAUUUCGUAAUUCACUCUGUGAUUGGAUUAGUAUCAAUCCCUCUGUUUGGCUCAUUGAUUAUCUGAACACUCAAAAUUUGGCGUUUGUAAAUUAGCUGAUUUAGGAUUGGCUAUCAACAAACAUUGCAUUGAAAGAAAGUUUAGUGAAUUUAUCCCCUUAUAUCACCUUUUUUAUCUCGCAACAUUGUUGUACAUGUUUUUCGGUGUAUUAUUUUGUCAGUAUCAUGUAGUUGUACACUGAUUGGAAUAAUUUGUGCUCAUAUUUUAGAUUUAUUAUGUGCGAUACAAGUAUUAAUGGGACAGGGAUAUGUUAUGGUUUACAAGGAUCUAUUCUGUUGUGAUGUUGCCAUGUCUUGUAUCUGAAAGGUGAUCUGUUGUUGGUGUAUAUUGUUUGGAUGGAAAUGGAACUGGAAUUGGAAAUUGAAGGCGUUAUAAGGGGCAGUGAGGUUGGUGUAGGUGAUAGGGGCAGUGGUGUUAAGUAUAUGAAUGACAUUGAUAUGGAGGAGGGUAAUGAUAUGGAGGGUAUAGAAGACAUAGUCGUUGCAAAUAGUUGUGGUCAGAGUGCAGUUGACUUGAAUGUUAGGUAUUUAUCCCCCUUGACAACACUACAUACCACUCACACUGUUGUUGGUAGCAACGAAAUGGACUGUGAUUGUCGAGGAGCCUAAAGAAGGAAUGGUUUUCCGGUCUUGCAAUGAGGUAGAAGCGUACUAUAAGGAGUAUGCUGAGCAGAUUGGUUUUGGAGUGUCUAGGGUUCAAGGUGUAAAUUCUAAGACGGAUAAGAAAAAAUGAAUAGCUAUGACUUGGAAGUGUGAGUGUUUGGGAAAGCCCGACAUGAGGGCUAGGAGGGAAGCGAAGAAGAGGGCAAAGGCAAUAGGUUUUGGUGGCUCAGGUGGCUUAGUUGAAGGGGUGGUAUGCGAGGAUGAGUUAAGUCGUAUGAAGAGGACCUCGAAAAAGUGCGAAUGUGAGGCGCGUGUUUAUGCUAGAAUGAAUGAUGAUGGAUUGUGGGUGUUGAAGACCGUGCACUUAGAGCAUAAUCACAAGAUUGAUCCGGCAAAUUCCAAGCUUGUGAAAAAUACCGCAUGAAGCACAUAACCUCUAAAAUGAGGAAGAAGUUGAUGGAUUACUAUGAGCAAGGUGUGCCCAUUUCUCAAAUACACGGUUGCAUGGAAACUGAACGAAACGGAAUGGAAAACAUGCCCCUCACCGUAAAAGAUUAACAACACGAGGUGUACAAGGCCCGGCGGUUGAAUAUGGUUGGAGGGGACUCGGUGGCAAUGAUGGAGUAUUUUGAAAAAAUGCAAUCCGGUAAUCAAAAUUUUUUCCAUGCACAACGUUUGGAUGAAGAAGGAAGGCUUAAGGAUGUGUUGUGGGUGGAUGCAAGAAGUAGGGUAGCUUAUGAAGAUUUCGGUGAUGCGGUUUGCUUCGACGCAACAUACCUAACAAAUGAAUACGAGCUCCCAUUUGCAAGCUUUGUUGGUGUAAACCACCAUGGGCAAUCGUUGUUGUUGGGAUGUGCUCUUAUUUCACAUGAAGAUUGUGAUACAUUUGCUUGGAUUUUUUGACAGUGGCUAGCUUGUAUGAAUAAUAGAGCUCCUAAUGCCAUUUUGACCGACCAAGCGACAGCUAUGCGGAGGCCCCUAGCUGAAGUUAUGCCCAACACUAUGCAUCGUUAGUGCAUUUGGCAUAUCAUGAGCAAAAUCCCUGACAAACUCGGCAAGUGUGCACGAUAAGUGGUUUACACAAUUAUCACACUCUUUGUGAUAAUUUUCUGCCAUGCUUAUUUGAUAUAAUUGUUGUAUGUGUAUAUGAUUGUUUGAUAUAUUUGCGUUAUUUAUUUGAUGAUAUUCUUCCAUGUUGAUAUGAUAAUAUAUGCUGUGUUGUUAAAAAUAAUAGUAACUGAUCGAAACGUGAGCAUCUUGAGUCUUAGGUACCAUUUUAGGCUAUUAUCCAUUCCUUUGUGUAAGGAAACAUGACACACAGAUAGAGCAGGUGAGUACAGGCAGACUAAUAAGUAUUUCUGCUCUUAGUGUUUAGGUGCUGUUCUGAUGUCAGCUUACCUGCUGUUUAUCUCAGCUAACCUUCUGUUAGCUAUAUUGAUGUUAGCUAUAUUUAUCUCAGCUAACCUUCUGUUGGCUAUAUUGAUGGUAUGCUGUGUCAACCGCAAAACCAAGCUACAUGAGUUUCCUCAGAAAUACACCAUGGCUCUAAAUCAACGCGUUCGAGAUGAAGUGAGUGCAGAUGAGCGGUGCUCGAAGUACGUUAGGAGGUUGGUUAGUGGCUAUACAGUUGAAAAAGUUUUCCAAAAGUUGUACACGAACAACAAGUUUCAAGAAGUUCAAACGGAGUGUUCGAGAAUGAUGUACUGCAAUGUACGAGGAGAAAAGGUUCUGUCCGAAAACUGUAUUCAAUUUUCAGUGAUCGAUCGUGUGUGGAUAGUACCUCCCGGUGCUAGUGAGGAUGUCAUUACUGAUAGGCGACGACUAUACAAUGUCACAUGUUGUCCUUUAACAAAGGAAGUGCAAUGCGAUUGUAGGAAGUUUGAGACAAGUGGCAUACUUUGCAAACAUUGCAUUCGGAUUCUGGAUUAAAUGUUGCCCGACGAGGUGCCAGAAAAGUACAUUCUAGCCCGUUGGAGGAAGGACGUACCAUGAAAGCACACAAGGGUGAAGGUGGCUUAUCAUGAUCCGGGCGACACGGACACUGUGAAGAGGUUUAACAAAAUGAUGGAGAAAUUCGAACCUUUAUGUGAAACCGCUUCCUUGGUGAACGAUCAAACAGUCAAUAUGGUAAUUGAAGCACUUUCAAAGCUUCAAAUUGCCAUUAAUGAGUGUAAGGAAAAGAAAAGUAAGGAGCAUGUUCCUGUAGUCAGUACAUUGUCAUCAGCAGCUGAAGAGGGAACGAUUUCCUCGGUUCGUAACCCAGUUCCUAGUACUUCAGAGCAUCAAGACCCCUGUCCAUCUGCCAUAGAACCUGUCAUCAAAGAUCCUAUAAUUAAGAAAAGGAAAAGGGGCAUGCCCAAGGCUUCGAGGCACAAGACACUUGCUGAAACCGGAUACAAGAAAACCACCAACAAGAAGAAGCUGCAAAACAAUGGUGCUGAAAGUGAUGUUGAGGACGAUCGACAUGCAACUAAGGGGAAGAAGGCACCCGAGGAGAAGGACACAACCAAGGGGGGAGUGGGAAAGUCUAAGGGGAAGAAGGCACCCAAGGAGAAGGACACAACCAAUGGGGAGUGGGAAAGUCUAGCAGAGUUAACAGAAAAGGAAAGGCGCAAGGGGAGAAGGAGACAACCAAGAGAGUUGCAAGUAGGGGAAAGGGAGAUGCACUACAAGGUCAAGGAAAGGGAAAUUCACAAAGUACUAUGAAGGCUAAGGGGAAGGCCAUUGCAAUGAAAGGGAAGUCCAUUCCCAUCAAAGGUGUUGCAACCAAGAAUUCUCGCAAGCAACCUGUUAAGGAGAAGCGUCUUGAUGAACUCAUGGCCUAAAACCUCAUUACAGAUGGCUAAAUGAUGGGUUAGAACGAUUUCUUGUGAUACUCCCUGACUUGUUUCAAGAGCGCCAUUUGAAGCUAUUCCAGAAAGUUAAGGAUGUUUCAGUAAGGUUUGCAAAUUAUAUUAAUUCUUUGAUAGUUGUAAGGUAGCUGCAGAACUGUUUAUGGUUAUGGCCAUCAUUUUAAACUUUGGAAUUUUAUGAUUUGCACCAAUUUAGGUGAGAUUUACACUUGGGAUAUUAUCAUUUGGUUAGCUGUGAAACACAUGGUAUUUUGCAACCUUUCAAGAAUGGUAUCGUAAAUUCUUAAAAAUAAGGAAAGCAAACCUUUGGGGUAGAUAUUACGCAGCGGAUGAGGCUCGUCUUGAUGCAACCCAAAAAUUAACAGAGCUAACGAAGGAAAUGCAAGAUAUUGAUGAACAACUUGCAAAGUGCGCUGAGGUUGCUCGGGAAAAGGAGAAGAAUAAGGGGCUUAAAAUUGGCAUCAGCUCUGCUCAUUCGAUCCCAGUUGCUGAGGAUAAGAACAAGAAUAAGGGGAUUAGAAUUGGUAGUAAUCUUGCUUCUCCGAUUCAGGUUGACAGCGAUAGCAACAGCGACGAAGAACCUGUCAAAAAGAGGAGCUUUGUGGGUUUCAAAGGGGAAUCAUCCAAAAGCAGUGGUCAGUGUAGCAAGGGUAAUGAGGUUUUAGGUGUUGGUGUCAAGGGAGGGGAAGCGGACAUGGAAAUCAGUGAUGAAGAGCCUGUUGUGAAACAGGUAAUCUCUUCAACCGUUGUUGUUCAAGCUGAAGGAGUGCAGGAGCAGCCUGCAAUUGGUGAAGUGAACGUUGGUGUGGCGUAGCAAGAGUAACAACAAGCACAGAUUAAUCAGGAGAGGGGCUCAGAGGUAGAAGAAGAAAACGAAGAGGAGGAAGAUGGGUUGUAGGCAGAAUAUGAUUCAUGGUAUGAUGGAGAAUCUGAAGAAGACAUUGGCUACCCAUACCAUCAUCAUUCACCUGAAGUGUCUGGUGAUGAUUCUGAAGCUUUUGGGUUUGACUCUGAUUAAGCUAAGCAAGUAUUUUAUGCAGUAUAGAUUUUGGUUAAGUAGAUAGUCAUUCUAGGGUCAGCUAGCUUUUUAAGUGGUUUAAUGUAAUUUUGUUAUUAGAAAUACUGGCCUCUAUAUAUAUUAUGUAGUGUAAUGACU
RNA transcript from Chenopodium quinoa (quinoa), 4987 nucleotides. RefSeq lists it as uncharacterized. NCBI's taxonomy places the organism in Eukaryota, Viridiplantae, Streptophyta, Magnoliopsida, Caryophyllales, Amaranthaceae. The transcript has 5 exons. The record is from RefSeq and is a predicted model, not a curated record.